AUGCAGUCGAGCGAACAGAUAAGGAGCUUGCUCCUUUGACGUUAGCGGCGGACGGGUGAGUAACACGUGGGUAACCUACCUAUAAGACUGGGAUAACUUCGGGAAACCGGAGCUAAUACCGGAUAAUAUUUCGAACCGCAUGGUUCGAUAGUGAAAGAUGGUUUUGCUAUCACUUAUAGAUGGACCCGCGCCGUAUUAGCUAGUUGGUAAGGUAACGGCUUACCAAGGCGACGAUACGUAGCCGACCUGAGAGGGUGAUCGGCCACACUGGAACUGAGACACGGUCCAGACUCCUACGGGAGGCAGCAGUAGGGAAUCUUCCGCAAUGGGCGAAAGCCUGACGGAGCAACGCCGCGUGAGUGAUGAAGGUCUUCGGAUCGUAAAACUCUGUUAUUAGGGAAGAACAUACGUGUAAGUAACUGUGCACGUCUUGACGGUACCUAAUCAGAAAGCCACGGCUAACUACGUGCCAGCAGCCGCGGUAAUACGUAGGUGGCAAGCGUUAUCCGGAAUUAUUGGGCGUAAAGCGCGCGUAGGCGGUUUUUUAAGUCUGAUGUGAAAGCCCACGGCUCAACCGUGGAGGGUCAUUGGAAACUGGAAAACUUGAGUGCAGAAGAGGAAAGUGGAAUUCCAUGUGUAGCGGUGAAAUGCGCAGAGAUAUGGAGGAACACCAGUGGCGAAGGCGACUUUCUGGUCUGUAACUGACGCUGAUGUGCGAAAGCGUGGGGAUCAAACAGGAUUAGAUACCCUGGUAGUCCACGCCGUAAACGAUGAGUGCUAAGUGUUAGGGGGUUUCCGCCCCUUAGUGCUGCAGCUAACGCAUUAAGCACUCCGCCUGGGGAGUACGACCGCAAGGUUGAAACUCAAAGGAAUUGACGGGGACCCGCACAAGCGGUGGAGCAUGUGGUUUAAUUCGAAGCAACGCGAAGAACCUUACCAAAUCUUGACAUCCUUUGACAACUCUAGAGAUAGAGCUUUCCCCUUCGGGGGACAAAGUGACAGGUGGUGCAUGGUUGUCGUCAGCUCGUGUCGUGAGAUGUUGGGUUAAGUCCCGCAACGAGCGCAACCCUUAAGCUUAGUUGCCAUCAUUAAGUUGGGCACUCUAAGUUGACUGCCGGUGACAAACCGGAGGAAGGUGGGGAUGACGUCAAAUCAUCAUGCCCCUUAUGAUUUGGGCUACACACGUGCUACAAUGGACAAUACAAAGGGCAGCGAAACCGCGAGGUCAAGCAAAUCCCAUAAAGUUGUUCUCAGUUCGGAUUGUAGUCUGCAACUCGACUACAUGAAGCUGGAAUCGCUAGUAAUCGUAGAUCAGCAUGCUACGGUGAAUACGUUCCCGGGUCUUGUACACACCGCCCGUCACACCACGAGAGUUUGUAACACCCGAAGCCGGUGGAGUAACC
This 1403-nucleotide ribosomal RNA is filed under the name Staphylococcus haemolyticus. Its description in RNAcentral is "bacterial SSU rRNA". It matches the Rfam family "Bacterial small subunit ribosomal RNA". Lineage: Bacteria; Bacillati; Bacillota; Bacilli; Caryophanales; Staphylococcaceae. The record is from RNAcentral.